Molecule: ribosomal RNA, 459 nt
Filed under: uncultured bacterium
Lineage: Bacteria
Description: partial 16S ribosomal RNA
Rfam family: Bacterial small subunit ribosomal RNA
Source: RNAcentral
CCUACGGGAGGCAGCAGUGAGGAAUAUUGGUCAAUGGGAGAGAUCCUGAACCAGCCAAGCCGCGUGAGGGAAGACGGCCCUAUGGGUUGUAAACCUCUUUUGUCGGAGAACAAAACCCGGGACGUGUCCCGGACUGCGUGUAUCCGAAGAAAAAGCAUCGGCUAACUCCGUGCCAGCAGCCGCGGUAAUACGGAGGAUGAGAGCGUUAUCCGGAUUUAUUGGGGUUAAAGGGUGCGUGGGCGGUCCGUUAAGUCAGCGGUAAAAGUGCGGGGCUCAACCCCGUCGAGCCGUUGACACUGGCAGACUUGAGUUGGCGAGAGGUACGCGGAAUGCGCGGUGUAGCGGUGAAAUGCAUAGAUAUCGCGCAGAACUCCGGUUGCGAAGGCAGCGUACCGGCGCCAGACUGACGCUGAGGCACGAAAGCGUGGGGAUCGAACAGGAUUAGAUACCCUUGUAGUC